UACGGGGGGGCAAGGCGUUGUUCGGAAUUACGUGGGCGUAAAGGGCUCGUAGGCGGCCAACUAAGUCGGAUGUGAAAUCCCCAGGCUUAACCUGGGAACUGCAUCCGAUACUGGAUGGCUUGAAGUCCGGGAGAGGGAUGCGGAAUUCCAGGUGUAGGCGGUGAAAUGCGUAGAUAUCUGGAGGAACACCUGUAGGCGAAAGCGGCUCACUGGACCAGCA
RNAcentral lists this ribosomal RNA (220 nucleotides) under uncultured bacterium. Its description in RNAcentral is "partial 16S ribosomal RNA". It matches the Rfam family "Bacterial small subunit ribosomal RNA", at positions 524 to 739 of the family's 1533-position model. The record is from RNAcentral.